This 440-nucleotide ribosomal RNA is filed under the name uncultured bacterium. RNAcentral's name for it is "partial 16S ribosomal RNA". It matches the Rfam family "Bacterial small subunit ribosomal RNA", at positions 338 to 795 of the family's 1533-position model. The record is from RNAcentral.
CCUACGGGAGGCAGCAGUGGGGAAUAUUGCACAAUGGGGGGAACCCUGAUGCAGCGACGCCGCGUGAGUGAGGAAGUACCUCGGUAUGUAAAGCCCUAUCAGCAGGGAAGAAAAUGACGGUACCUGACUAAGAAGCCCCGGCUAACUACGUGCCAGCAGCCGCGGUAAUACGUAGGGGGCAAGCGUUAUCCGGAUUUACUGGGUGUAAAGGGAGCGUAGACGGCUAAGCAAGUCAGAAGUGAAAACCCAGGGCCCAACCUCGGGACUGCUGUUGAAACCGAGUGGCUAGAGUGCGGGAGAGGUAGGCGGAAUUCGUGGUGUAGCGGUGAAAUGCGUAGAUAUUAGGAGGAACACCGGUGGCGAAGGCAGCAUGCUGGACCGUAACUGACGUUGAGGCUCGAAAGCGUGGGGAGCGAACAGGAUUAGAUACCCGGGUAGUC